Molecule: ribosomal RNA, 253 nt
Filed under: uncultured bacterium
Lineage: Bacteria
Description: partial 16S ribosomal RNA
Rfam family: Bacterial small subunit ribosomal RNA
Source: RNAcentral
UACAGAAGCCUCAAGCGUUACCCGGAUUCACUGGGCGUAAAGGGUGCGUAGGCGGUUAUAUUAGUCGGGUGUUAAAUCCUGGGGCUCAACCCCAGGCUCGCAUUCGAAACGGUAUAACUAGAAGGAGUGAGAGGUGAACAGAACUCAUGGUGUAGGGGUGAAAUCCGUUGAUAUCAUGGGGAAUACCAAAUGCGAAGGCAGUUCACUGGCACUUUCUUGACGCUGAGGCACGAAAGCGUGGGUAGCGAACGGG